Molecule: long non-coding RNA, 241 nt
Filed under: Phoenix dactylifera (date palm)
Lineage: Eukaryota; Viridiplantae; Streptophyta; Magnoliopsida; Arecales; Arecaceae
Description: long non-coding RNA (PDAC_LNC008704)
Source: RNAcentral
AAGGUCGAUAGAUUCCUUAUAGGUGCACACCCUACUCCUACAGUGAACCUACUGCAGCCAAUCUAUACUGCAUGGACCCAUAUGGCUAGAGACCAUGUAUGUGUGCAGUCAAACUACAAUAACCUCACUGUGAGUAGCCGAAGCACCGUAGGUCAAAGGACCAAUCACACUACUGCAACAUCAAGCAAGUCACUGACGAGUGGAUAGACAUCCAAGUGACUUCUUGUAUUGGUCACGCUCA